UCGGCGCACAGCUCAGUAGCACGUGGCUAACCUGCCCUUGGGACGGAAGAACCCCCGGGAAACUGGGGCUAAUUUCCGAUAGGUGAUGAUACCUGGAAUGGUUUUUUGCUCAAAGGACGCUUAGGGCAUGCUUCUAGGCGUUGCCCAAGGAUGGGGCCGCGGCCGAUCAGGUUGUUGGUGAGGUAACGGCUCACCAAGCCUUUAACCGGUGCGGGCCGUGGGAGCGGAAGCCCGGAGAUGGGCACUGAGACAAGGGCCCAGGCCCUACGGGGCGCAGCAGUCGCGAAAAUUUCGCAAUAAGCGAAAGCUUGACGGAGCUAUCCCGAGUGCCAUCCGCUGAGGAUGGCUUUUCCCUAGUAUAGAUAGCUGGGGGAAUAAGGAGAGGGCAAGUCUGGUGUCAGCCGCCGCGGUAAUACCAGCUCUCCGAGUGGUGGGGAUGAUUAUUGGGCCUAAAGCAUCCGUAGCCGGCUGGGCAAGUCCCCUGUUAAACCCAACGAUUUAAUCGUUGGUCUGCGGGGGAUACUGCUUGGCUAGGGGGCGAGAGAGGCCGUCGGUAUUCCCGGGGUAGGGGUGAAAUCCUAUAAUCCCGGGAGGACCACCAGUGGCGAAGGCUGUCGGCUAGAACGCGCCCGACGGUGAGGGAUGAAAGCUGGGGGAGCGAACCGGAUUAGAUACCCGGGUAGUCCCAGCUGUAAACGAUGCAGGCUAGGUGUUAGGGCGGCCACGUGCCGCUCUAGUGCCGCAGGGAAGCUGUUAAGCCUGCCGCCUGGGGAAUACGUCUGCAAGGCUGAAC
Molecule: ribosomal RNA, 793 nt
Filed under: uncultured soil archaeon
Lineage: Archaea
Description: bacterial SSU rRNA
Rfam family: Archaeal small subunit ribosomal RNA
Source: RNAcentral